RNAcentral lists this ribosomal RNA (305 nucleotides) under uncultured bacterium. Its description in RNAcentral is "bacterial SSU rRNA". It matches the Rfam family "Bacterial small subunit ribosomal RNA", at positions 335 to 657 of the family's 1533-position model. The record is from RNAcentral.
UCUCCUACGGGACGCAGCAGUGGGGAAUAUUGCACAAUGGGGGAAACCCUGAUGCAGCGACGCCGCGUGAGCGAUGAAGUAUUUCGGUAUGUAAAGCUCUAUCAGCAGGGAAGAAAAUGACGGUACCUGACUAAGAAGCCCCGGCUAACUACGUGCCAGCAGCCGCGGUAAUACGUAGGGGGCAAGCGUUAUCCGGAUUUACUGGGUGUAAAGGGAGUGUAGACGGUCCAGCAAGCCAGAUGUGAAAGCCCGGGGCUCAACCCCGGGACUGCGUUUGAAACUGUAAGGCUAGCGUGUCGGAGAGG